Molecule: long non-coding RNA, 2329 nt
Organism: Ficedula albicollis (Collared flycatcher)
Lineage: Eukaryota; Metazoa; Chordata; Aves; Passeriformes; Muscicapidae
Source: Ensembl
UCAAGGUCCACUUUGGGGGGUUCUGCUUUCGGAGCUUGUGGACGUGUAGGAUUUUUUUGUCAUGUUUUUCAUUUUUUCUUGUUGCAGUGUCUGGAUUUCUUUACUUCAACUUUUCCAUUCUUCAGACUUGAGCCAAGUUGGAAGAGAAGAGGGGGAUCUGCCAGGUGGCUGCAUCUUGGAACACAGGCCUUGCUUUCCUGUGCCAUUUUGGAGCAGUCCUGUGUGUGGGAGAAGUACAGCUGUGGGACGCCUGAUGAAAAGAGGUGGUUGAACAACUGGCCUUCAGCUCUAUCACCUUCUUUCAGUACUUGCAAAAAAAACCAGCAACAACAACAACAACAACAACAACAACAACAACAACAACAACAACAACAACAACAACAACAACAACAACAACAACAACAACAACAACAACAACAACAACAACAACAACAAAAAAGACAAAAAAAUCCAAGCCAAAGAUAGUUUAUGUGCAGCUCAGGAAGCUCUCAGCAAUGAGUGUGUCUGUGAUUUAAUAACAUAUCUACCCAAAAUGACACUUCUUCUAAUACUCACUGAGAAAAAGAAGGCAGAGCAGCACACAAGGCACUGCUAUUGCAGCAACAAACAGCCACACUACCAGGUAUUUAUUUUUCAAUGUACACAAUUACUGGGGGAGAAUAAAAAUUAUUCUCUGACACUCUGACAGAGCUGUAGAAAGCCUUGUGCUUCCCCUACUCCCAUGAUCCUGACAAGAAACACCUCACAAAUUCUAAUAAACAGAGAAUAGAAAUAAAUACUUUUAACUACACAGCACCAGGUUUCAAAUGGCUUCCUGAAUCAGAAAGUGCUGCUAGUCCAUCUUCCUUAUUUCCACACUCUGUAAUGGUGGCUCUCCAAAAGUCAAAGUGAGAUGGAUACUGCAAGGAUCACAGACACUACACUGGGAAACCAAGUAUCAGUGGGUACAUCCAGAUUUAUGGUAGGUGAUGGCAGUAAAGUGAAAGUAAAACUGUUUGCACAGUCUGUAUUGUUGGCCAUUACUGUGUAUUUGCCCUUUUUUCUUGCUUAGCUGUGGCUGGAAGAAUGGAAAAUUGUACCUUCUAUACAGUAUUAGGAGACACUUUCUGAUCGUAAGGUCAAUCAGACUGGUUUAGCUGCUUGAGGUAUUUAUGGCACAAUCACUCAGUGUCUUUAAGGAAAGGUUAGAUACAUUUAUGGGAAAGGUAUUUUGCAGAAGCUUUCCUGCUUCGUAGAGGUCUUGGACAAAAUGACCCAGGAGGCCCCUUCCAAGUCUAUCAAAUAUGGUUCCCUGAUUGAUGCUGUUUCCCCCCAAAGUCUUUUGAAAACACAAAGCACUGUUAUAAAAUUUAAUAUGAUAUACUCUAUAACUUUAACACAAUGCCAUUUUCUUACAGGAAAUGGUUAGCUGGUAGCACAGGAGCCUCGUGCAAGAGGAAGAAACGUAGAAGAAAAGAAAUUGCAGUGCAGUUUCUCUGCCGAGGGAUAUCGACUGUAACAUUUACUCUGUGUCUGAGCAUGGACCCUCAGCUGUGCAGGGGGACACCAAGCCAAGGAAGGAUAUAAGGAACCCAGGCUAUGGAAUUUAUUUCUCCAGAAAAGCCUGACAAGGCCUGAGGUAAUUUUCUGUGCUGUGCAGUAAUCACUCCCUCAGUGCAGGGAACAAAUGGACACCCAGCUCUCCGUGUAAGUCACGGCCUGGUGCUGUUUCCCCUGGGCCCCAGGCAGAGGGACCGGGAGAUCCCAGCCCUCCUGCACGGCUCAGGUGUGUCCUGCACUACCUGCACCAGUGAGGACACCCUGCAGUGGGAAGGGCCAUUCUGUGACUCCUCACUCUCUGCCUUGGCUCUGUCCUGGCCUGCUGCCAUCCCAGCAGCACCACGGAGCAGGCGGAGCAAAUCCUGAAGACUGCGAGCGCCAGAAUCUGCACGGCUAAAAGAGGGCAGCAGCACCCCGGUAACGUUUGUCUGCUGAUGGAGACUCAGCAAGAGAGCUUGGGCCACAUCUCCCUUGGCUGAGUACACAUUGUUUGUCAGGCAGAAUGCUCUCCCGGCCUUCUAUGCUCCCACCAAACCAUUCAGUAAAAGGAUAAUAUUUUUCUUCCUACUACACUUCCCUUUUUUUUUAUUGCUGAAUGUUUCCUAAAUUGACUUUUUUUUUCCUUUGAAACCAUUAACAUAUUUAAAAACUAAAGUCAUGUAAUGAUUUAAAACAAAAAAAAAAAAAAAAACAGGGGGGGGGGGGGGGGGGGGGGGGGGGGGGGGGGGGGGGGGGGGGGGGGGGGGGGGGGGGGGGGGGGGGGGGGGGGGGGGGGGGGGGGGGGGGGGGG